GAUGAACGCUGGCGGCGUGCCUAAUACAUGCAAGUCGAGCGAACAGACGAGGAGCUUGCUCCUCUGACGUUAGCGGCGGACGGGUGAGUAACACGUGGAUAACCUACCUAUAAGACUGGGAUAACUUCGGGAAACCGGCGCUAAUACCGGAUAAUAUUUUGAACCGCAUGGUUCAAUAGUGAAAGACGGUUUUGCUGUCACUUAUAGAUGGAUCCGCGCCGCAUUAGCUAGUUGGUAAGCUAACGGCUUACCAAGGCAACGAUGCGUAGCCGACCUGGGAGGGUGAUCGGCCACACUGGAAGUGAGACACGGUCCAGACUCCUACGGGAGGCAGCAGUAGGGAAGCUGCAGCAAUGGGCGAAAGCGUGACGGAGCAAAGCCGCGUGAGUGAUGAAGGUCUUCGGAUCGUAAAACCCUGCUAUUAGGGAAGAACAAAUGUGAAAGUAAAUAGGCACGGCUUGACGGUACCUAAUCAGAAAGCCACGGCUAACUACGUG
This 497-nucleotide ribosomal RNA is filed under the name uncultured bacterium. Its description in RNAcentral is "partial 16S ribosomal RNA". It matches the Rfam family "Bacterial small subunit ribosomal RNA", at positions 28 to 507 of the family's 1533-position model. The record is from RNAcentral.